CUGCUGCUGCUGUUUCAGGCUUCCCCACAUCAACCAGAAUUUGAUCCCAUUCCUCAAAUAGUAAAUGAUCUUGUCCAUUUUCCAGGCUUGGGAUGAGCUCAACUGGACAGCAGGGCUGAUGUCUUUUCUCACACCAUCCACCCUCAGAGCCAGCAUGUGAUGAUCCAUCACCUCAUUGAGGAUUUAAACAGGGUCUUUGCAGUAAAGCUUGCAGAACCUAAUCAUCUGGGAAACAAACAGAUGUCUCUUUCAACAUUUAUGCAUGGCUUGGUGGGAGUUUUUCUUGGCAGCUGAAAAUACAGCCUUCAUGUCUUCAAUAGAUGAGCAUCCUCUAGCACAUUCGAGGCAGGAACCAAGUUACCAAAGCUUCCCACUUGCAGUGAAUAUGAAGUUCCAAUGAUGGAAGCCCACCCUGGGCCAGACACCUGUUCUCAAUUUCCAAAUACCGUUUCUAGAUGUUGGGAGUGGGCAGGGGGAUUUUGGUUGUUGUGUCCCAUGAUUGAGAUACCGUCAUCCUGUCUACUUUCAAGUGAGAUUAUAGACCACCCUUCUUUCCCUUUUACCUAUAAACUUUGAAAAGAAAGAGUGUCCAUGACAGGUCCCUCUGCACAAAUGGAACAUGAGUAGGUGAUAUGUGAGCCUGUUCAUACCCCAGGGGUUUUAUUCUUUAAUGCAGAGCCAAGCAAAGUAUGCUGGUAACCAUUAAAGACUAAAUACAACCCAGAAAAAGUGGGGUGGGGCUUAUUCUCAGCCUGAAAGGCAACAGGAACUGAUUGGACAAGUCUUGGGAAGAUAGCUGUUACACCCCACUGAUGGCAUUAAGCAACAAAAUCCAAGAAUGACUUUUGGCCCUGCCCUCUUAGUACCAUCCUCUGUUCUACAUCCUGCCAACCUGACCUUGGCUGUGGAAAGAGAUGUUUGAUUUUGAUUAAUUGAGGAAAACUGUGCAUCCAUUUGCUGUGUUUUGUUUUGUUUUUGUUUUUGUUUGUUUGUUUGUUUUCCUGGAACUGGGAACAUUUUCCCAUGCCCCCAGGAGCUCUCUCCUAGCUAUCUUGGUUGAAAUAGUCUUGACAGGAAUCUCCAGCUGGGCUAAUGAGUGACAGCUGGCUCUAUCACUGGGCAGCCCAACAACCAGCCUGCUUCUCUUGAGGCUUUAUCGCCACCUGGUGGACAAUAGUGGAGGCGCCUCCUCUGUGGUCCAUGCUCAGGUAGAAAGAACAUUGAAGAAGCAGAAGUCCGGUCUGGGAAUGCUAUAUGCUGUGGGCAACAUACAAUUAAGUUACUUGGAUCAUCUGAACAAGAUAAACGGUCAGGACUUAUUGGGUAAUGAAAUCCAAAGAGUAAUUCUCACUCUCCAUCUCCUAACACUUUUAUGUUAUGAUUCUUGCAGAGGAAAAGGAAAUCAGAAACAAAUAGGGGACAUUCCAGUCAUGUACUUUCAUUGUCCACACUGAAUUUUCAGGCUGGAAUACAUUUCUGAGGAAUGCUAGGUGGAAUACCUCCCUCGUGCUCUUUCCUCCUUCUCCACUCUCUGAUUUAUGGAACCAACAGCAAAGCUAAAAGCAUCCCCAGAAAUAACCUAAUCCUGGUCCCAUCAUACUAAAUGGGCUGCCAGAAGAGUCUGAGGAAGGAAAGUGGGUAACUUCCAUGGUUCAUAGGACCUAAAGACUUUUUCCAUCAUGCAGCCACAAAAACAUUGACUUGAAUGAUUCUAUUCCCUUUUCUAAUUUGUCCAUUGAAUUCCAUGGUUGGAAAGGAUUUUCACAGGCAAUCCAUGUUGAAUCUGCAGCUGUCCAGGGUUGUAUGACAGCCCAGCCUGCAGCUGAGGCCAGAUGGUAAGUUUCUAGUGCAGCCUCUGGGCAUGAAUUGCCAAAGUGCCAUCUGAGAAGGUCCAAGAGAAAUAAAUAUGGCCAGCUGCUGAGAGGGCUGGUCCUUGGAGCAGAGGCCACUAGCUGACCUUAUGUAAUGAGGCAGAUAUCUUCCCAGAAUGGGAGAAUGUCAUGUGCCUUGGGAUUCCUUUAACAGAACACAAAAUUUCAAAAAGAAUCAAACCUUAAUAUGCAAAUACCUCUGGGUAUAAGUGGUACACGGCAACUUAAAUUUUCUCUAAAAAAAAAAAUGAUUGAUAACAGUGGUUAACAACAAAUGUUAACUAACACUUAUUGAGCUUUUACUAUGUACCCAGUGCUUUUUAAAGAUUUUUAUGUGUGAAAUAUCCUUUAAAUCCUACAGCCACACAUUACAAGUGGAAAAAAAAAAAGGUAAGCACAGAAAUGUUCAGAAUCCAGAAGUGAUAAUGGAGUAUGUGUGUCUUACCACCUCACUCUAUGGCUUCUCCAUGCAACCUGAUGCUUUUACUUUGUCAAAAGUAGCUUCCACAGAGGGAAGAGUCUCCAGACCACAAAAUGAGACAGGGAGAACUAUGAAGGCAGAACAGGAGGAGGAGUUAAGGCUUUUCUAAGGUUAAUCUCACUUGUCAUUUCUCAGAGAGGCAGGUGAGCUGUGUUUUGGGCAAACUUUACAAUCUGCCUGCUUCCUUUAUUAGUCUCUGACAAACAACCAAGGAUUCCUGCUGUGUUCCUUUAUUAAAAGUAGAUCUCAAAUUAGCCACCUAGUCAACUCCCCAAAUGAUCACUUUGACUCUAUUUGUCAUUUUAAUUUUUAGUCUUCAUUUAGAUGAUUUUCCCCUGAGGUUCCAACCACCAGUUACAUUAUUUUUAUUCUUAUCACAGAUCUAUCAAGUAUUCUAGAGUAUUGGAUGUCACAGAGGAGAAAAAUAUCAUUUCCCAGAAAUGAAGUGUGAUGUUGAAGCUGCAUUUAAACACAUCAAGUGGAGAAUUAAGACAUCUGUCUUGAUUAGUUUGACUAAGUCAUGAUUUUCCUUGUGAUAUGCAAACUAAAUCAGCAGCUGAUUUGAAACUUGAAUCAUCUGAAUUCUUUGCUUCACCUUGCAUGGGGAGAUGUAGCUCUUCAGCAUUGAUUGACAGGCCGUUUAGUGAAUAUAUUAGGAUGGUUAAGAACAUGGGCUCUGGAGAUUGUGUGCUUCCUAAUAGUGGGUCCAUCUCUUCUUAGUUUGAGACCUUGGUAAAGUGAUUCUCUUGUGACUCAAUUUCCACAAUGUAAAAGGGGAUAAUUACAGUACAAGCUUUACAGAUUGCUAGGAAAUUCUUAUAAAGCUUAUAGAAUAAUAACUGGCACAUAUUUUUUGCUAAAUAAAGUUGGUUAUGAUUGUUUUGUAUCAUUCUGUGUAUAUAUUUAAAAACGUGCAUAUAUAAAUAAAAUAUAUACACACAAAAAAACCCUAUAUUUAGAC
This 3313-nucleotide long non-coding RNA is filed under the name Marmota monax (woodchuck). Lineage: Eukaryota; Metazoa; Chordata; Mammalia; Rodentia; Sciuridae. The record is from RNAcentral.